Non-coding RNA from Biomphalaria pfeifferi, 587 nucleotides. The record is from the annotation of a GenBank genome assembly. Lineage: Eukaryota; Metazoa; Mollusca; Gastropoda; Planorbidae.
UGGGGGGGGGGGGGGUGAGAGGUACUCAGCAUUACAAAAUUAUAACAGGGGUACACAGAGGUCAAAAGUUUGGGAAACACUGUUCUAUUGGACUCUUUGUCUUAUAUUGGCUUUGAUAAUUCCAAGUUUUGUUCUUUCUUCCCUCAGAAUGAGUCCUUCAGAAGAUUGGGCUGGGCAUUUUGUACAGUGACAAGACAUAGGCCCAACUAAAAGAUUUUCUUUGAUGCUAUUUAGCAAGUCCAACGAUAUUUAAACAUCAUUUACAACAUACUUUGUCUGAAGGCUCGUCCUAGUAGUGCUAAUGACUAUUUGAACAUUGAUCUAUUUAGUUAGUUUUGUAUGUUCAUCUUUGUUUGGGAAGUCUCCAAUAGUGGCUAAUUGUUUCCUUACCUAUGAAUAGGCGUAAUCAUGAUUUCUACUUAGAUUUAGUCAUAAAUGUGUGGAGGGAGGGAGGUGUCAUUUUAUGUUCUAUUCACUAUUUUUCGUUGAUUGUGAACUGAAUGCUUUGUUUAUUCUAUGUUUCAGUACAUUGCCAUACUUGACAAAUGACUCAAUAAAACAUUCUCUGUUUUUUUUUUUAAUUUUCA